GUUUGCAUAGCUUAAAGAGUAAAAGCGUGGUAUUGAAGAUACUAAGAUAAAUUAUUUUUGUUAACA
Molecule: transfer RNA, 66 nt
Filed under: Tanystylum sp. JZ-2022
Lineage: Eukaryota; Metazoa; Arthropoda; Pycnogonida; Pantopoda; Tanystylidae
Description: tRNA-Phe
Source: RNAcentral